RNAcentral lists this ribosomal RNA (257 nucleotides) under uncultured prokaryote. RNAcentral's name for it is "partial 16S ribosomal RNA". It matches the Rfam family "Bacterial small subunit ribosomal RNA", at positions 525 to 777 of the family's 1533-position model. The record is from RNAcentral.
ACAGAGACCUCAAGCGUUAUCCGGAAUCAUUGGGCGUAAAGCGUACCGAUAGGUGGUUUAGAAAGUCAGAUGUGAAAUUCCAAGGCUCAACCUUGGGACUGUCAUUUGAAACUUCUAAACUAGAGGGGCAAAGAGGAAGCUGGAACGAACGGUGUAGUAGUGAAAUGCGUUGAUAUCGUUCGGAACACCAAUAGCGAAGGCGGACUUCUGGGUGCCACCUGACACUGCUAGGACGAAAGCGUGGGGAGCGAAUGGGA